RNAcentral lists this ribosomal RNA (301 nucleotides) under uncultured bacterium. Its description in RNAcentral is "partial 16S ribosomal RNA". It matches the Rfam family "Bacterial small subunit ribosomal RNA", at positions 509 to 807 of the family's 1533-position model. The record is from RNAcentral.
CAGCCGCCGCGGGAAUACGGAGGGGGCUAGCGUUGUUCGGAAUUACUGGGCGUAAAGCGCACGUAGGCGGCUUUGUAAGUCAGAGGUGAAAGCCCGGGGCUCAACCCCGGAAUUGCCUUUGAGACUGCAUCGCUUGAAUCCAGGAGAGGUGAGUGGAAUUCCGAGUGUAGAGGUGAAAUUCGUAGAUAUUCGGAAGAACACCAGUGGCGAAGGCGGCUCACUGGACUGGUAUUGACGCUGAGGUGCGAAAGCGUGGGGAGCAAACAGGAUUAGAUACCCCAGUAGUCCCUGUCUCUUAUAC